This 499-nucleotide ribosomal RNA is filed under the name uncultured Glomeromycotina. RNAcentral describes it as "partial small subunit ribosomal RNA". It matches the Rfam family "Eukaryotic small subunit ribosomal RNA", at positions 591 to 1092 of the family's 1831-position model. Lineage: Eukaryota; Fungi; Glomeromycota. The record is from RNAcentral.
CCAAUAGCGUAUAUUAAAGUUGUUGCAGUUAAAAAGCUCGUAGUUGAAUUUCGGGAUCAAGGGAUCGGUCCUGCCUUGGUAUGUACUGGUUUCAUUGGUUCUCACCUUCUAAAGAACCAUGAUGUCAUUCAUUUGAUGUUAUGGGGAAUUAGGACUGUUACCUUGAAAAAAUUAGAGUGUUUAAAGCAAGCUUACGCUUGAAUACAUUAGCAUGGAAUAAUGAAAUAGGACAUCAGAUUCUAUUUUGUUGGUUUCUAGGAUCGAUGUAAUGAUUAAUAGGGAUAGUUGGGGGCAUUAGUAUUCAAUUGUCAGAGGUGAAAUUCUUGGAUUUAUUGAAGACUAACUACUGCGAAAGCAUUUGCCAAGGAUGUUUUCAUUAAUCAAGAACGAAAGUUAGGGGAUCGAAGACGAUCAGAUACCGUCGUAGUCUUAACCAUAAACUAUGCCGACUAGGGAUCGGAUGAUGUUAAUUUUUUAAUGACUCAUUCGGCACCUUACG